CCAAUAGCGUAUAUUAAAGUUGUCGCAGUUAAAAAGCUCGUAGUUGAAUUUCGGGGUCAGUAGGUUGGUCGUGCCACAGGUAUGCACUGGUCUCACUGAUUCCUCCUUCCUGAUGAACCGUAAUGCCAUGAAUUUGGUGUUGCGGGGAAUCUGGACUGUUACUUUGAAAAAAUUAGAGUGUUUAAAGCAGGCUAACGCUUGAAUACAUUAGCAUGGAAUAAUGAAAUAGGACGAUCGAUCCUAUUUUGUUGGUUUCUAGGAUUGACGUAAUGAUUAAUAGGGAUAGUUGGGGGCAUUAGUAUUCAAUUGUCAGAGGUGAAAUUCUUGGAUUUAUUGAAGACUAACUACUGCGAAAGCAUUUGCCAAGGAUGUUUUCAUUAAUCAAGAACGAACGUUAGGGGAUCGAAGACGAUCAGAUACCGUCGUAGUCUUAACCAUAAACUAUGCCGACUAGGGAUCGGAUGAUGUUAAUUUUUUAAUGACUCAUUCGGCGCCUUACG
RNAcentral lists this ribosomal RNA (500 nucleotides) under uncultured Glomeromycotina. RNAcentral's name for it is "partial small subunit ribosomal RNA". It matches the Rfam family "Eukaryotic small subunit ribosomal RNA", at positions 591 to 1092 of the family's 1831-position model. The record is from RNAcentral. Lineage: Eukaryota; Fungi; Glomeromycota.